UAAUUGAAGAGUUUGAUCAUGGCUCAGAUUGAACGCUGGCGGCAGGCCUAACACAUGCAAGUCGAGCGGUAGCACAGGAGAGCUUGCUCUCUGGGUGACGAGCGGCGGACGGGUGAGUAAUGUCUGGGAAACUGCCUGA
Molecule: ribosomal RNA, 139 nt
Filed under: Serratia liquefaciens
Lineage: Bacteria; Pseudomonadati; Pseudomonadota; Gammaproteobacteria; Enterobacterales; Yersiniaceae
Description: partial 16S ribosomal RNA
Rfam family: Bacterial small subunit ribosomal RNA
Source: RNAcentral